Molecule: ribosomal RNA, 263 nt
Filed under: uncultured Methanosaeta sp.
Lineage: Archaea; Methanobacteriati; Methanobacteriota; Methanomicrobia; Methanotrichales; Methanotrichaceae
Description: partial 16S ribosomal RNA
Rfam family: Archaeal small subunit ribosomal RNA
Source: RNAcentral
CAAGACCGGUGCCAGCCGCCGCGGUAACACCGGCGGCUCGAGUGGUAACCGCUAUUAUUGGGUCUAAAGGGUCUGUAGCCGGCCGACUAAGUCUCUUGGGAAAUCUGGCAUCUCAAGUGUCAGGCUGCCAGGGGAUACUGGUCGGCUUGGGACCGGGAGAGGUGAGAGGUACCUCGGGGGUAGGGGUGAAAUCUUGUAAUCCUCGAAAAAGCCACCAGUGGCGAAGGCGUCUCACCAGAACGGAUCCGACGGCAAGGGACGAA